This 1151-nucleotide ribosomal RNA is filed under the name uncultured bacterium. RNAcentral's name for it is "bacterial SSU rRNA". It matches the Rfam family "Bacterial small subunit ribosomal RNA", at positions 97 to 1260 of the family's 1533-position model. The record is from RNAcentral.
GGCGAACGGGUGAGUAACACGUGAGUAACCUGCCCUUAACUCUGGGAUAAGCCUGGGAAACUGGGUCUAAUACCGGAUAGGAGCGUCCACCGCAUGGUGGGUGUUGGAAAGAUUUAUCGGUUUUGGAUGGACUCGCGGCCUAUCAGCUUGUUGGUGAGGUAAUGGCUCACCAAGGCGACGACGGGUAGCCGGCCUGAGAGGGUGACCGGCCACACUGGGACUGAGACACGGCCCAGACUCCUACGGGAGGCAGCAGUGGGGAAUAUUGCACAAUGGGCGCAAGCCUGAUGCAGCGACGCCGCGUGAGGGAUGACGGCCUUCGGGUUGUAAACCUCUUUCAGUAGGGAAGAAGCGAAAGUGACGGUACCUGCAGAAGAAGCACCGGCUAACUACGUGCCAGCAGCCGCGGUAAUACGUAGGGUGCGAGCGUUAUCCGGAAUUAUUGGGCGUAAAGAGCUCGUAGGCGGUUUGUCGCGUCUGUCGUGAAAGUCCGGGGCUUAACCCCGGAUCUGCGGUGGGUACGGGCAGACUAGAGUGCAGUAGGGGAGACUGGAAUUCCUGGUGUAGCGGUGGAAUGCGCAGAUAUCAGGAGGAACACCGAUGGCGAAGGCAGGUCUCUGGGCUGUAACUGACGCUGAGGAGCGAAAGCAUGGGGAGCGAACAGGAUUAGAUACCCUGGUAGUCCAUGCCGUAAACGUUGGGCACUAGGUGUGGGGACCAUUCCACGGUUUCCGCGCCGCAGCUAACGCAUUAAGUGCCCCGCCUGGGGAGUACGGCCGCAAGGCUAAAACUCAAAGGAAUUGACGGGGGCCCGCACAAGCGGCGGAGCAUGCGGAUUAAUUCGAUGCAACGCGAAGAACCUUACCAAGGCUUGACAUGUUCUCGAUCGCCGUAGAGAUACGGUUUCCCCUUUGGGGCGGGUUCACAGGUGGUGCAUGGUUGUCGUCAGCUCGUGUCGUGAGAUGUUGGGUUAAGUCCCGCAACGAGCGCAACCCUCGUUCCAUGUUGCCAGCACGUCGUGGUGGGGACUCAUGGGAGACUGCCGGGGUCAACUCGGAGGAAGGUGAGGACGACGUCAAAUCAUCAUGCCCCUUAUGUCUUGGGCUUCACGCAUGCUACAAUGGCCGGUACAAUGGGUUGCGAUACUGUGA